Molecule: ribosomal RNA, 468 nt
Filed under: uncultured bacterium
Lineage: Bacteria
Description: partial 16S ribosomal RNA
Rfam family: Bacterial small subunit ribosomal RNA
Source: RNAcentral
GACGAACGCUGGCGGCGUGCUUAACACAUGCAAGUCGAACGGAAAGGCUCCAGCUUGCUGGAGUACUCGAGUGGCGAACGGGUGAGUAACACGUGGGUGAUCUGCCCUGCACUUCGGGAUAAGCCUGGGAAACUGGGUCUAAUACCGGAUAGGACCGCACUUUGGUGUGUGUGGUGGAAAGGUUUUUCUGGUGUGGGAUUAGCUCGCGGCCUAUCAGUUUGUUGGUGGGGUAAUGGCCUACCAAGACGGCGACGGGUAGCCGGCCUGAGAGGGUGGACGGGCACAUUGGGACUGAGAUAAGGCCCAGAAUCCUACGGGAGGCAGCAGUGGGGAAUAUUGCACAAGGGGGGAAACCCUGAUGCAGCGACGCCGCGGGGGGGAUGAAGGCCUUCGGGUUGGAAACUCCUUUCGCUAGGGACGAAGCUUUUUGUGACGGUACCUGGAGAAGAAGCACCGGCUAACUACGUG